Artomyces pyxidatus is the source of this 125-nucleotide non-coding RNA. NCBI's taxonomy places the organism in Eukaryota, Fungi, Basidiomycota, Agaricomycetes, Russulales, Auriscalpiaceae. The record is from the annotation of a GenBank genome assembly.
UCGGAUAUGGUGUAACGGUUAACAUUGCCGCCUCUCACCGCGACGCAAAUUCUCGGGGACUUGAACCCCCUAGGAAGAAGCAAAUCGGAUCGCGGCAGCUCGGGGUUCGAUUCCCCGUAUCCGAA